RNAcentral lists this ribosomal RNA (253 nucleotides) under uncultured bacterium. RNAcentral describes it as "partial 16S ribosomal RNA". It matches the Rfam family "Bacterial small subunit ribosomal RNA", at positions 524 to 776 of the family's 1533-position model. The record is from RNAcentral.
UACGGAGGGUGCAAGCGUUAUCCGGAUUCCCUGGGUUUAAAGGGUGCGUAGGAGGGCAGGUAAGUCAGUGGUGAAAUCCCCGAGCUUAACUUGGGAACUGCCGUUGAUACUAUCUGUCUUGAAUACCGUGGAGGUGAGCGGAAUAUGUCAUGUAGCGGUGAAAUGCUUAGAUAUGACAUAGAACACCAAUUGCGAAGGCAGCUCGCUACACGAAUAUUGACUCUGAGGCACGAAAGCGUGGGGAUCAAACAGG